GCCCUUGUAGCUCAGUGGGAGAGCGCCUGCCUUACAAGCAGGAUGUCGGGAGUUCAAUUCUCUCCAGGGGCA
Molecule: transfer RNA, 72 nt
Filed under: Mycobacteroides chelonae
Lineage: Bacteria; Bacillati; Actinomycetota; Actinomycetes; Mycobacteriales; Mycobacteriaceae
Description: tRNA-Val
Rfam family: tRNA
About the family: Transfer RNA (tRNA) molecules are approximately 80 nucleotides in length. Their secondary structure includes four short double-helical elements and three loops (D, anti-codon, and T loops).
Source: RNAcentral